Molecule: ribosomal RNA, 212 nt
Filed under: Vairimorpha ceranae
Lineage: Eukaryota; Fungi; Microsporidia; Nosematidae
Description: partial small subunit ribosomal RNA
Rfam family: Microsporidia small subunit ribosomal RNA
Source: RNAcentral
AAAUGUUAAUUUGUAUUACAUAAUAGAAAUUUGAGUUUUUUGGCUCUGGGGAUAGUAUGAUCGCAAGAUUGAAAAUUAAAGAAAUUGACGGAAGAAUACCACAAGGAGUGGAUUGUGCGGCUUAAUUUGACUCAACGCGAGGUAACUUACCAAUAUUUUAUUAUUUUGAGAGAACGGUUUUUUGUUUGAGAAUGAUAAUAGUGGUGCAUGGC